AACGUAGGGGGCCAGCGUUGCUCGGAAUUACUGGGCGUAAAGGGUUCGUAGGCGGUGCGGCAAGUCGGAAGUGAAAUCUCUGGGCUUAACUCAGAGACUGCUCCCGAAACUGCCGUGCUCGAGUGCGGGAGAGGCGAGUGGAAUUGCAGGUGUAGCGGUGAAAUGCGUAGAUAUCUGCAGGAACACCCGUGGCGAAGGCGGCUCGCUGGACCGCAACUGACGCUGAGGAACGAAAGCUAGGGGAGCAAACAGG
This 253-nucleotide ribosomal RNA is filed under the name uncultured Acidobacteriota bacterium. RNAcentral describes it as "uncultured Acidobacteria bacterium partial 16S ribosomal RNA". It matches the Rfam family "Bacterial small subunit ribosomal RNA", at positions 524 to 776 of the family's 1533-position model. The record is from RNAcentral. Lineage: Bacteria; Pseudomonadati; Acidobacteriota.